UACGGAGGAUGCGAGCGUUAUCCAGAUUUAUUGGGUUUAAAGGGUGCGCAGGCGGAAUGUCAAGUCAGCGGUAAAAUUUCGGGGCUCAACCCCGUCGAGCCGUUGAAACUGGCAGACUUGAGUUGGCGAGAAGUACGCGGAAUGUGUGGUGUAGCGGUGAAAUGCAUAGAUAUCACACAGAACACCGAUUGCGAAGGCAUCUCACGAAUCCGCGAUUGACGCUGAUGCACGAAAGCGUGGGUAUCGAACAGG
RNAcentral lists this ribosomal RNA (252 nucleotides) under uncultured Bacteroidales bacterium. RNAcentral describes it as "partial 16S ribosomal RNA". It matches the Rfam family "Bacterial small subunit ribosomal RNA", at positions 524 to 776 of the family's 1533-position model. The record is from RNAcentral. Lineage: Bacteria; Pseudomonadati; Bacteroidota; Bacteroidia; Bacteroidales.